GACAUCAUAGCUCAGUUGGCUAGAGAGUUGGCUGGACUUAAGCCUUCCAUUGCUGACGUGGGUUCGAAUCCCACUGAGGCCG
RNAcentral lists this transfer RNA (82 nucleotides) under Schistocephalus solidus. It matches the Rfam family "tRNA". From Rfam's summary of the family: Transfer RNA (tRNA) molecules are approximately 80 nucleotides in length. Lineage: Eukaryota; Metazoa; Platyhelminthes; Cestoda; Diphyllobothriidea; Diphyllobothriidae. The record is from Rfam by way of RNAcentral.